GGGCUGUGAACCGAAGUGUUGCAGGUUCGAUUCCCAGCCAGGGUACAUUCCUGGGUUGCAGGCCAGGUCCCCCGAGUAGGGGCCAUGUAAGAGGGAACCAUGCAUUGAUGUUUCUCUCCCUCUCUUUCUCUCCCCCUUCCUCUCUCUAAAGUUAAAUAAAUAAAAUCUUUAAAA
This is a long non-coding RNA of Phyllostomus discolor (pale spear-nosed bat), 174 nucleotides long. RefSeq lists it as uncharacterized. The record is from RefSeq and is a predicted model, not a curated record. Lineage: Eukaryota; Metazoa; Chordata; Mammalia; Chiroptera; Phyllostomidae. The transcript has 2 exons.